Molecule: ribosomal RNA, 508 nt
Filed under: uncultured bacterium
Lineage: Bacteria
Description: bacterial SSU rRNA
Rfam family: Bacterial small subunit ribosomal RNA
Source: RNAcentral
GAUGAACGCUAGCUACAGGCUUAACACAUGCAAGUCGAGGGGUAGCAGGGUAGCAAUACCGCUGACGACCGGCGCACGGGUGAGUAACACGUAUCCAACCUUCCCAUAACUCUGGGAUAGCCUUUCGAAAGAAAGAUUAAUACCGGAUGGUACUUUUUCAAGGCAUCUUGAGAAAGUUAAAGAUUUAUUGGUUAUGGAUGGGGAUGCGUUCCAUUAGAUAGUUGGUGAGGUAACGGCUCACCAAGUCUUCGAUGGAUAGGGGUUCUGAGAGGAAGGUCCCCCACAUUGGUACUGAGACACGGACCAAACUCCUACGGGAGGCAGCAGUGAGGAAUAUUGGUCAAUGGGCGAGAGCCUGAACCAGCCAAGUAGCGUGAAGGAUGAAGGUCCUAUGGAUUGUAAACUUCUUUUAUAGUAGAAUAAAGUGAUCCACGUGUGGAUUUUUGUAUGUAUACUAUGAAUAAGGAUCGGCUAACUCCGUGCCAGCAGCCGCGGUAAACGUAGCGUG